CGGGGGAGCAAGCGUUGUUCGGAUUUACUGGGCGUAAAGGGCGCGUAGGCGGCGCAACUAGUCACUUGUGAAAUCUCCGGGCUUAACCCGGAGCGGCCAAGUGAUACUGUCGUGCUAGAGUGCGGAAGGGGCUACUGGAAUUCUCGGUGUAGCGGUGAAAUGCGUAGAUAUCGAGAGGAACACCUGUGGCGAAGGCGGGUAGCUGGGCCGACACUGACGCUGAGGCGCGAAAGCUAGGGGAGCGAACGGGAUUAGAUACCCCGGUAGUCCUAGCCUUAAACGAUGGAUGCUUGGUGUCCGGGGUUACAUAGUCCCCGGGUGCCGUCGCUAACGCAUUAAGCAUCCCGCCUGGGGAGUACGGUCGCAAGACUG
RNAcentral lists this ribosomal RNA (372 nucleotides) under uncultured organism. Its description in RNAcentral is "bacterial SSU rRNA". It matches the Rfam family "Bacterial small subunit ribosomal RNA", at positions 527 to 896 of the family's 1533-position model. The record is from RNAcentral.